Molecule: ribosomal RNA, 360 nt
Filed under: uncultured Streptococcus sp.
Lineage: Bacteria; Bacillati; Bacillota; Bacilli; Lactobacillales; Streptococcaceae
Description: bacterial SSU rRNA
Rfam family: Bacterial small subunit ribosomal RNA
Source: RNAcentral
CGGUACAUCGGUGACAGGUGGUGCAUGGUUGUCGUCAGCUCGUGUCGUGAGAUGUUGGGUUAAGUCCCGCAACGAGCGCAACCCCUAUUGUUAGUUGCCAUCAUUCAGUUGGGCACUCUAGCGAGACUGCCGGUAAUAAACCGGAGGAAGUGGGGAUGACGUCAAAUCAUCAUGCCCCUUAUGACCUGGGCUACACACGUGCUACAAUGGUUGGUACAACGAGUUGCGAGUCGGUGACGGCGAGCUAAUACUCUUAAAGCCAAUCUCAGUUCGGAUUGUAGGCUGCAACUCGCCUACAUGAAGUCGGAAUCGCUAGUAAUCGCGGAUCAGCACGCCGCGGUGAAUACGUUCCCGGGCCUU